UGAUGGUGAUAAGGACAACUUCUGAGCAUGCCCUUGAAUCUCUCCUAAGCUUGGUAGAGAUUUUCUCUAUCUUUCUAUCUUAAACUUAAUAUCCCACUCCUUAAUCG
Molecule: small nucleolar RNA, 107 nt
Filed under: Capsicum annuum
Lineage: Eukaryota; Viridiplantae; Streptophyta; Magnoliopsida; Solanales; Solanaceae
Description: Plant small nucleolar RNA R71
Rfam family: Plant small nucleolar RNA R71
About the family: R71 is a member of the C/D box family of snoRNAs containing the C (UGAUGA) and D (CUGA) box motifs. Multiple nearly identical copies of this snoRNA have been identified in Arabidopsis, and it is thought to function as a 2'-O-ribose methylation guide for 18S ribosomal RNA.
Source: Rfam by way of RNAcentral